Molecule: ribosomal RNA, 253 nt
Filed under: uncultured bacterium
Lineage: Bacteria
Description: partial 16S ribosomal RNA
Rfam family: Bacterial small subunit ribosomal RNA
Source: RNAcentral
AACGGAGGGCGCGAGCGAUCAUCGGAAUUACUGGGCGUAAAGCGCAUGUAGGCGGCCGAGCAAGUCAGGUGUGAAAUCCUCGGGCUUAACCUGGGAAGUGCACUUGAUACUGUCCGGCUAGAGUUUGGCAGAGGAAAGUAGAAUUCCCGGUGUAGCGGUGAAAUGCGUAGAUAUCGGGAGGAAUACCAGUGGCGAAGGCGGCUUUCUGGGCCAAUACUGACGCUGAGGUGCGAAAGCGUGGGGAGCAAACAGG